ACUUUCCUCCCUCCUCCGUCCUGCCCCAGGAGAUUCUCCUCUACUUAGGGCCAAUCUCAGAAGAGCUGGAGUUUGUCUGUUUGGUAUUAAUUGUAAGGUAUUAUUUCCUUCCAGGGGAGCACUGACCAUCUGUGAUGAGAAAGGUCACAAGCGGAGACAAAAAAGUUUUGAAGAUGGAGAAAGAUCAUCUUGUUUCCAGAUUUUCAAAGGACCUGCCUGGACAUGGACCCACUGGUUAGAAAGUGCUGUCAUAAUGAGCAUUCUUAAAAAUAAUAAAAGAUUAAUAUUCCAGCUAUCCUUCUCUCCUCUUAACAGGUAAAGUUAUCUAUAUAGCAGCAAUAGAAUGAGGAUGAAAGCUGAGGCUCAGGGUGUCUGUUCUUCCUCAUCAGUUGCACUGCACUACCACUUUCUGCUUCCUCCAAUGACCCCACCAUCUAAAGGCACCAGAUCGGAGAUCCCUGGGUAGCUCCUCUCCCCUUGCCCCCAAAGCAGACAGUCUCCAAAUAAAAUACCCAGGACAUAACCAUGCAUUUGGGCUUCCAAAGUAGCCUGAGACCAGACAAAUUUUUCAUUCUUUGGUGGCUAUCUCUCCUAUUCCUAACCUCAUCCAUAGGCAAAACACUAUAACAUUUGUUAGAUCUUAAAGGGUCUUUAAAGAACAUCUAACUCACCAUUCUGUUUUUAUACAUAAAUAAAGUCAGGUCUAGAGAGAAGCAGUGAUCUUUCCAAGAUUCCAUAGUUGUUUGCAGAAAAACACAGACUGUUCUGUGUAUUCCCACAAGAGGAACUUCUGCCUCAAAGCCUGGUUUCCAUCUGUCCUUAGCCUGAUUUCACUCAGUGUCCAGCCACCUUCUCUGAAGGACUUACUCAAAGGCACAUUCCAGGACCACCUCAAAAUUCUGCUGAGAGCCAGGUGAUUCAUGAAUCACUAACUUCCUAAAUUCAAGGCUCCUAAGGGGCUCUCAAGUAACAUUCUCUCGUAUAACUAGCAAAAUUAGUUUUCCUUUUAAAGGUCAGCUCAAAGGAGAAGACCAGCCCUUUCUCCCAUAGUCUAAGGUCAUUACUGAAAGGCAGCGUUAGGGGAGUGGAGUGGAAGUCAGCUUCGGUAGGAGACUUCCACAGAGCAAGUUCUCAGGACUCUGAAUCUAUAGCUUGAUCUCAAGUGAGGUAUGAAAUUCCACCCUCCAAGUUCGAUCUGUAGGUGGAAGACUUCUGUUCCUGUGAAAAUGCAAAUAUCCCUGUCAAUGCCCCACCAUUACAGAGCAUCAACAAUGGAGAAUCAAAGUGUAUGGGUGGUAUGAAGGGAAGGAAGAGCAAAGAGCUAAGAGGUCUGUCCCAGGGAAGGUGAGGAUAAGAAGAAUAAAAGGGAGAAAGAGGUUCUCCAAAAGCUGACAGGGCAGAAGACAAAGCAGGGAAUCCUAGGAAAGAGGUUUGCCCCAGUCAUCCCUCACCAGCCCCACUUCUCUUUUAAUGAUGAAUUUGCCCUCUUUCCUUGAAUAUUCACAGUUACCUUAAAGAGGCUGACCCUGUGAUGCUCAGGGUAUCUCUAUUUGCAAAAAGAAAGAAACCCAGUUAGCUCCAUUGUGAGAGACGUGGAAUUAUUUCACAGUCACCUCCAUCUUCACCCACUCAGGACUCCCACAUCUCUUAUCCUAAACACCUAGAGGGUGUGGACUACUUUCGUCUCCUAGAAAAAUAAAGGCGCUCUUCCAAAAAUUCUUUAGGAUGCAAAAGAAGAAACACAGAAAAAAAAAUACCUUCCUGUCUUCAUCCAAAUUCAUUUUAGGAGAAAUACGAUAGAAAAAACAACUUUUUUUGUCACCUGGGUUUCAUUGUUUGACAUAAAUAUUUUUGUUCUCUUUUUUCUUCUUCCUGUUGUCUUUUUAUUUUCUGUUUCUUGAUAGACUACUACAAUGAGUGAGACAAACUGCACAGUCUGAUGAUAUAGUCCUCACAAGACUGCUCUCACUUCAGACACCACACGCAAGUCUGGAGGUCCCCAGGGCCACUCUCACUUCACACCAGCUGACUACAAAUUCAAGGGUUCCCACAACCAUUCUCAGGUUUGAUAAUUUGCUAGAAUGACUCAAAGAACUCAGGAAAGUGCUAUACUUAUGAUUAUGGUUUUAUUAUAGCAAAAAGGAUACAAAUUAGAACCAGCUAAAAAGAAGCAUAGAGUGAGGUAUGAGAAGGUUCCAAACGCAAAGCUUCUGUCAUCCUCAGGGAUGGGUUACUUUCCUGACACUGAUGUGCGGCAACUGACACAGAGUAUUGCCAACCAGUGAAGCUCACCCAUGCUUCAGUGUCCAGAGCUUUUGUUCAGGUUUCAUUACAUAGGCAUGACUGACUGAAUCAUAGCCCUCUAGGGUGAAAUCAAUUUCCAGCCCCCCUCCCCUCCCUAGAGGUCAGGCUAAAAUUACCUGCCUCAAAGCCCCAACCCUCUAAUCACAUGCUUGGUCCUUUCAGUGUGGCCAAAAGCCUGUACCCUGAGUCAUCUUGUUAGCACAAACUAGGUAGGGGCCCACCAAGAGUCACCUUAUUAGCACAAACUAUCAGGUCAGGUGUGGUCUGAGGGGUUCUUAUGAAUAGCAAAGACUGUCCUAUCAUUCUGGAAAUUCCAAAGGUUUAGAGGUUACCUCCCAAGAGCAGGAACAAAGACCAGACUUCUUUGGGGUAAAUUCAAUUCUUCACUACAUAAAUACCAAAAAACAAAAAAGUGUGUCUGGAACAUGUUAAAAAUGUAGAAGUCACUGGUGGCAGACGAGGAACUCAACUGUACAGCACAGUUUAGGAUUUUGAUAAAGCGGAUGUGAAACAAGCAGAUGGCUCCACUGCAUACGUAGGGCUUUGGGAGGGGAAGAUGAUCUGCCUCAGCUGGCUGUAGACAGGGCUUUUUUUUUUAAGAGAGUCAAACCUAAUCAUUCAGCAUUGACCUCCCAGAUUAGUUGGGAGGAAUGAGGGCUGUGGAAGAAAGAAGCAUGUGUUGUUACCUUGAAAGCAAAUUGUUGGUCUCAACUAAAAACUGAUUAAUCCCUCCUAAAAUAUUCAAGGAUUCUCUCCCUUUUUCUGGCAAAAAAAAAAAAAAAAAAA
RNAcentral lists this long non-coding RNA (3090 nucleotides) under Equus caballus (horse). RNAcentral describes it as "lncRNA (ENSECAG00000044379.1)". Lineage: Eukaryota; Metazoa; Chordata; Mammalia; Perissodactyla; Equidae. The record is from RNAcentral.